Molecule: ribosomal RNA, 253 nt
Filed under: uncultured bacterium
Lineage: Bacteria
Description: partial 16S ribosomal RNA
Rfam family: Bacterial small subunit ribosomal RNA
Source: RNAcentral
UACGAAGGGGGCUAGCGUUGCUCGGAAUUACUGGGCGUAAAGCGCACGUAGGCGGCUCCUUAAGUCGGUGGUGAAAUCCUGGAGCUCAACUCCAGAACUGCCUUCGAUACUGGGAAGCUCGAGUCCGGGAGAGGUGAGUGGAACUGCGAGUGUAGAGGUGAAAUUCGUAGAUAUUCGCAAGAACACCAGUGGCGAAGGCGGCUCACUGGCCCGGUACUGACGCUGAGGUGCGAAAGCGUGGGGAGCAAACAGG